UCUCCUCCACGAACCGCCACGGA
This 23-nucleotide non-coding RNA is filed under the name Arabidopsis thaliana (thale cress). The record is from RNAcentral. Lineage: Eukaryota; Viridiplantae; Streptophyta; Magnoliopsida; Brassicales; Brassicaceae.